Molecule: transfer RNA, 73 nt
Filed under: Floydiella terrestris
Lineage: Eukaryota; Viridiplantae; Chlorophyta; Chlorophyceae; Chaetopeltidales; Chaetopeltidaceae
Also listed under: 1 other name
Description: tRNA-Ile
Rfam family: tRNA
About the family: Transfer RNA (tRNA) molecules are approximately 80 nucleotides in length. Their secondary structure includes four short double-helical elements and three loops (D, anti-codon, and T loops). Further hydrogen bonds mediate the characteristic L-shaped molecular structure. tRNAs have two regions of fundamental functional importance: the anti-codon, which is responsible for specific mRNA codon recognition, and the 3' end, to which the tRNAs corresponding amino acid is attached (by aminoacyl-tRNA synthetases). tRNAs cope with the degeneracy of the genetic code in two manners: having more than one tRNA (with a specific anti-codon) for a particular amino acid; and 'wobble' base-pairing, i.e. permitting non-standard base-pairing at the 3rd anti-codon position.
Source: RNAcentral
GGGCUAUUAGCUCAGUUGGUAGAGCACUCCUUUGAUAAGGGAGUGGUCAUAGGUUCAAGUCCUGUAUAGCCCA